AGCUGAUGAGCUUGAAACAAGCAUAUGUUUUGAAAACAUAAGAUAGAAAAUAAAUUUUCUAUCAGCUU
Molecule: transfer RNA, 68 nt
Filed under: Dolichopus bigeniculatus
Lineage: Eukaryota; Metazoa; Arthropoda; Insecta; Diptera; Dolichopodidae
Description: tRNA-Ser
Source: RNAcentral